AGGUGGCAAGCGUUAUCCGGAUUUAUUGGGCGUAAAGAGCGCGAAGGUGGUUAAUUAAGUCUGAUGUGAAAGCCUUCGGCUUAACCGUGGAGGGUCAUUGGAAACUGGUUGACUUGAGUGCAGAAGAGGGAAGUGGAAUUCCAUGUGUAGCGGUGAAAUGCGUAGAGAUAUGGAGGAACACCAGUGGCGAAGGCGGCUCUCUGGUCUGUAACUGACGCUGAGGCUCGAAAGCGUGGGGAGCA
This 242-nucleotide ribosomal RNA is filed under the name uncultured bacterium. RNAcentral's name for it is "partial 16S ribosomal RNA". It matches the Rfam family "Bacterial small subunit ribosomal RNA", at positions 529 to 770 of the family's 1533-position model. The record is from RNAcentral.